RNAcentral lists this ribosomal RNA (1415 nucleotides) under Chryseobacterium sp. CH3. Its description in RNAcentral is "bacterial SSU rRNA". It matches the Rfam family "Bacterial small subunit ribosomal RNA". The record is from RNAcentral. Lineage: Bacteria; Pseudomonadati; Bacteroidota; Flavobacteriia; Flavobacteriales; Weeksellaceae.
UAGCGGGAGGCCUAACACAUGCAAGCCGAGCGGUAGAGUUUCUUCGGAAACUUGAGAGCGGCCCACGGGUGCGGAACACGUGUGCAACCUGCCUUUAUCUGGGGGAUAGCCUUUCGAAAGGAAGAUUAAUACCCCAAAAUAUACUGAAGGGCAUCUUUCGGUAUUGAAAACCCCGGGGGAUAGAGAGGGGCACGCCCAAAAUUAAAUAGUUGGGGAGGUAACGGCUCCCCAAGUCUGCGAUCUUUAGGGGGCCUGAGAGGGUGAUCCCCCACACUGGUACUGAAACACGGACCAAACCCCUACGGGAGGCAGCAGUGAGGAAUAUUGGACAAGGGGGGAGAGCCUGAUCCAGCCAUCCCGCGUAAGGACGACGGCCCUAUGGGUUGUAAACUUCUUUUGUAUAGGGAUAAACCUACUCUCGUGAGAGUAGCUGAAGGUACUAUACGAAUAAGCACCGGCUAACUCCGUGCCAGCAGCCGCGGUAAUACGGAGGGUGCAAGCGUUAUCCGGAUUUAUUGGGUUUAAAGGGUCGGAAGGCGGAUCUGUAAAUCAGUGGUUAAAUCUCACAUCUUUACUGUGAAACUGCCAUUGAUACUGCAUGUCUUGAGUGUUAUUGAAGUAGCCGGACCCAGUAGUGUAGCGGUGAAAUGCAUAGAUAUUACUUAGAACACCUAUUGCGAAGGCAGGUUACUAAGCAACUACUGACGCUGAUGGACGAAAGCGUGGGGAGCGAACAGGAUUAGAUACCCUGGUAGUCCACGCCGUAAACGAUGCUAACUCGUUUUUGGGGCUUCGGCUUCAGAGACUAAGCGAAAGUGAUAAGUUAGCCACCUGGGGAGUACGAACGCAAGUUUGAAAUUCAAAGGAAUUGACGGGGGCCCGCACCAGCGGUGGAUUAUGUGGUUUAAUUCGAUGAUACGCGAGGAACCUUACCAAGGCUUAAAUGGGAAAUGACAGGUUUAGAAAUAGACUUUUUUUCGGACAUUUUUCAAGGUGCUGCAUGGUUGUCGUCAGCUCGUGCCGUGAGGUGUUAGGUUAAGUCCUGCAACGAGCGCAACCCCUGUCACUAGUUGCCAUCAUUAAGUUGGGGACUCUAGUGAGACUGCCUACGCAAGUAGAGAGGAAGGUGGGGAUGACGUCAAAUCAUCACGGCCCUUACGCCUUGGGCCACACACGUAAUACAAUGGCCGGUACAGAGGGCAGCUACACAGCGAUGUGAUGCAAAUCUCGAAAGCCGGUCUCAGUUCGGAUUGGAGUCUGCAACUCGACUCUAUGAAGCUGGAAUCGCUAGUAAUCGCGCAUCAGCCAUGGCGCGGUGAAUACGUUCCCGGGCCUUGUACACACCGCCCGUCAAGCCAUGGAAGUCUGGGGUACCUGAAGUCGGUGACCGUAACAGGAGCUGCCUAGGGUAAAAC